ACACUGGUGGUGUAAGUGGAUAACAUGCUGACAGCCUUGGCUUGUCCUAGCAGCUCAGUGACGGGGGUUCGAAUCCCUCCCAGUGUG
Molecule: non-coding RNA, 87 nt
Organism: Pluteus cervinus
Lineage: Eukaryota; Fungi; Basidiomycota; Agaricomycetes; Agaricales; Pluteaceae
Source: the annotation of a GenBank genome assembly